AUUGAACGCUGGCGGCAUGCCUUACACAUGCAAGUCGAACGGCAGCAUGGAGAGCUUGCUCUCUGAUGGCGAGUGGCGAACGGGUGAGUAAUGCAUCGGAACGUACCGUGUAAUGGGGGAUAACGUAGCGAAAGUUACGCUAAUACCGCAUACGACCUGAGGGUGAAAGCAGGGGAUCGCAAGUCCUUGCGUUAUACGACGCGCCGAUGUCAGAUUAGCUAGUUGGUGAGGUAAAGGCUCACCAAGGCGACGAUCUGUAGCGGGUCUGAGAGGAUGAUCCGCCACACUGGGACUGAGACACGGCCCAGACUCCUACGGGAGGCAGCAGUGGGGAAUUUUGGACAAUGGGGGCAACCCUGAUCCAGCCAUGCCGCGUGAGUGAAGAAGGCCUUCGGGUUGUAAAGCUAUUUCGGCCGGGAAGAAAUCGCACAGGCUAAUACUCUGUGUGGAUGACGGUACCGGCAUAAGAAGCACCGGCUAACUACGUGCCAGCCGCCGCAGUAA
RNAcentral lists this ribosomal RNA (504 nucleotides) under uncultured bacterium. Its description in RNAcentral is "partial 16S ribosomal RNA". It matches the Rfam family "Bacterial small subunit ribosomal RNA", at positions 30 to 523 of the family's 1533-position model. The record is from RNAcentral.